GAUGAACGCUGGCGGCGUGCCUAAUACAUGCAAGUCGAGCGAACGGACGAGAAGCUUGCUUCUCUGAUGUUAGCGGCGGACGGGUGAGUAACACGUGGAUAACCUACCUAUAAGACUGGGAUAACUUCGGGAAACCGGAGCUAAUACCGGAUAAUAAUUUGAACCGCAUGGUUCAAAAGUGAAAGACGGUCUUGCUGUCACUUAUAGAUGGAUCCGCGCUGCAUUAGCUAGUUGGUAAGGUAACGGCUUACCAAGGCAACGAUGCAUAGCCGACCUGAGAGGGUGAUCGGCCACACUGGAACUGAGACACGGUCCAGACUCCUACGGGAGGCAGCAGUAGGGAAUCUUCCGCAAUGGGCGAAUGCCUGACGGAGCAACGCCGCGUGAGUGAUGAAGGUCUUCGGAUCGUAAAACUCUGUUAUUAGGGAAGAACAUAUGUGUAAGUAACUGUGCACAUCUUGACGGUACCUAAUCAGAAAGCCACGGCUAACUACGUG
This 497-nucleotide ribosomal RNA is filed under the name uncultured bacterium. RNAcentral describes it as "partial 16S ribosomal RNA". It matches the Rfam family "Bacterial small subunit ribosomal RNA", at positions 28 to 507 of the family's 1533-position model. The record is from RNAcentral.